Molecule: long non-coding RNA, 530 nt
Filed under: Apteryx rowi (Okarito brown kiwi)
Lineage: Eukaryota; Metazoa; Chordata; Aves; Apterygiformes; Apterygidae
Description: lncRNA (ENSARWG00000002339.1)
Source: RNAcentral
GGAUUCCCGUGUUUCUCGGCUUCCCAGCGCAGGCCAAAUCCGAGUCGCUAACGAAGCUCGGUAAUUUGCGGAAGCCGAAAGCUGUCGUUCACGCGCCUUGAGACGCUAAACCGCUGGCCACGACAGUUGAUAAAAAUGAAAGACCCGUUUCCUUGCAAAAUGCUUUCCCGGGAUGAUUUUCUGAUUUCCUUUUCCUCCGGUGCCGCUUCAGGGGGAGCUGGGCUUGCCUGGUGCGCCGGGACUCGACGGCGAGCAGGGUCCCAAAGGAGCUAAGGGCGACCAAGGAAAUGCCGGGAUAAUGGGACAGAAAGGCGAGACGGGAGAAACGGGCUUAUCUGGUCCACCGGGAGCCGAUGGACCAAAAGGAGAAAAAGGAGAAACUGGAUCCCCGUGUUUGCAGAAUAACCACAUCAUCCCUGAGCCGGGACCCCCCGGACUGCCCGGCCCCAUGGUAGGAGUCUGCAAAGCGGCGUGUAAAAGGGCAAAGAACCGUAAAUUCAUUACUGUGUUUGGUUCGAAGGAGGCCGAGG